UCAAAUGAAUUGACGGGGAGCACCACAACGGGUGGAGCUUGCGGUUUAAUUGGAUUCAACGCCGGAAAUCUUACCGGGACCGACAGCAAUAUGAAGGCCAGGCUGAAGACUUUGCCGGAUUAGCUGAGAGGUGGUGCAUGGCCGUCGUCAGUUCGUACUGUGAAGCAUCCUGUUAAGUCAGGCAACGAGCGAGACCCACGCCCACAGUUGCCAGCGUACUCUCUGGAGUGACGGGUACACUGUGGGGACCGCCGCUGCUAAAGCGGAGGAAGGAAUGGGCAACGGUAGGUCAGUAUGCCCCGAAUAUCCCGGGCUACACGCGAGCUACAAUGGUUGGUACAAUGGGUAUCUACCCCGAAAGGGGACGGGAAUCUCCUAAAACCAAUCUUAGUUCGGAUUGAGGGCUGCAACUCGCCCUCAUGAAGCUGGAAUCCGUAGUAAUCGCGUUUCAACAGAACGCGGUGAAUACGUCCCUGCUCCUU
This 482-nucleotide ribosomal RNA is filed under the name uncultured Methanosaeta sp. RNAcentral describes it as "bacterial SSU rRNA". It matches the Rfam family "Archaeal small subunit ribosomal RNA", at positions 856 to 1338 of the family's 1478-position model. The record is from RNAcentral. Lineage: Archaea; Methanobacteriati; Methanobacteriota; Methanomicrobia; Methanotrichales; Methanotrichaceae.